UUCGACACAGUCGAGGUGAUUCACACAGUCGAGGUGAUUUGACACAGUCGAGGUUAUUCGACACAGUCGACGUGAUUCACACAAUGAUGAUACACCAGGUUCGGUUGUAUUUCAUUUCGGUUCGAGGUGAUUCGACACUAAAAACCGUCUACACGGGUUGAGUACAUCCUAUGUCGCCGCAUACGUUAAUGUCCUCGCGAAACAUUAACGAUCAACCUGUUCAUAGACGCUUUACAUACCCAUUUACAACACUAAAACUUUCAUAUGUUCAUAAGAUUCAUUUGAUGGAAACUCAGAAAUACAUGGAUUUAUAAACUUUGGUAACGUUUUUCAAAUUAUGCCUAAGUAAGAGGACGCGCUGAUCCUGCUUACAAAGGUUCGUUUGG
RNAcentral lists this long non-coding RNA (386 nucleotides) under Helianthus annuus (common sunflower). Its description in RNAcentral is "sRNA HanXRQr2_Chr09g0415501". The record is from RNAcentral. Lineage: Eukaryota; Viridiplantae; Streptophyta; Magnoliopsida; Asterales; Asteraceae.